AUACUUACCUGGCAGGGGAGAUUCCAUGAUCAUGAAGGUGGUUUUCCCAGGGCGAGGCUUAUCCAUUGCACUCCGGAUGUGCUGACCCCUGCGAUUUCCCCAAAUGUGGCGAAACUCGACUGCAUAAUUUGUGGUAGUGGGGGACUGCGUUCGCGCUUUCCCCUG
RNAcentral lists this small nuclear RNA (165 nucleotides) under Cervus hanglu yarkandensis (Yarkand deer). RNAcentral's name for it is "U1 spliceosomal RNA (ENSCHYG00000025416.1)". It matches the Rfam family "U1 spliceosomal RNA". From Rfam's summary of the family: U1 is a small nuclear RNA (snRNA) component of the spliceosome (involved in pre-mRNA splicing). Its 5' end forms complementary base pairs with the 5' splice junction, thus defining the 5' donor site of an intron. The record is from Rfam by way of RNAcentral. Lineage: Eukaryota; Metazoa; Chordata; Mammalia; Artiodactyla; Cervidae.